Long non-coding RNA from Dendroctonus ponderosae (mountain pine beetle), 285 nucleotides. RefSeq lists it as uncharacterized. The record is from RefSeq and is a predicted model, not a curated record. The transcript is spliced from 3 exons. Lineage: Eukaryota; Metazoa; Arthropoda; Insecta; Coleoptera; Curculionidae.
GCUAAGUAUCGUCUCACCUCCGAAUAGUCGUUUUUGUCGGAUUUAAGGAAGUUUUCUGCAAAUUUCUUUUUCAGCUGGUUUUUCUUCGGAAAUUUAACUUUGAAUUGGUCUAAACAUCACAAUCGUGUUUUUCACGCUAACUAAACGCGCUAAGUAUCUUUUUAUCUCCGAAUCGUCGUUUUUGUUGGAUUUUAGGAAGUUUUCUGCAAAUUUCUUUUACAGCUGGUUUCUCUUCGGAAAUUUAACUUUGUCAUUCAAACUUGGUCUAAACAUUACAAACGUGUU